CCUACGGGAGGCAGCAGUGAGGAAUAUUGGUCAAUGGACGAGAGUCUGAACCAGCCAAGUCGCGUGAAGGAUGACUGCCCUAUGGAUUGUAAACUUCUUUUAUAUGGGAAUAAAAUGUUCCACGUGUGGGCUUUUGUAUGUACCAUAUGAAUAAGCAUCGGCUAACUCCGUGCCAGCAGCCGCGGUAAUACGGAGGAUCCGAGCGUUAUCCGGAUUUAUUGGGUUUAAAGGGAGCGUAGGUGGAUUGUUAAGUCAGUUGUGAAAGUUUGCGGCUCAACCGUAAAAUGGCAGUUGAAACUGGCAGUCUUGAGUACAGGAGAGGUGGGCGGAAUUCGUGGUGUAGCGGUGAAAUGCUUAGAUAUCACGAAGAACUCCGAUUGCGAAGGCAGCUCACUGGACUGCAACUGACACUGAGGCUCGAAAGUGUGGGUAUCAAACAGGAUUAGAUACCCGGGUAGUC
This 460-nucleotide ribosomal RNA is filed under the name uncultured bacterium. RNAcentral's name for it is "partial 16S ribosomal RNA". It matches the Rfam family "Bacterial small subunit ribosomal RNA", at positions 338 to 795 of the family's 1533-position model. The record is from RNAcentral.